This 1302-nucleotide ribosomal RNA is filed under the name Triticum aestivum (bread wheat). RNAcentral describes it as "partial small subunit ribosomal RNA". The record is from RNAcentral. Lineage: Eukaryota; Viridiplantae; Streptophyta; Magnoliopsida; Poales; Poaceae.
AUGCCGAGACCCAAGGCAGAGAGGCCCGUGCCGCCGCCGGCCUCCCGCCGGUCCCUCGCGGCGGGCGGGCUGGGCCUGGCGGCCGCGGCGUACGUGGGCGUGGACUACCUCAGCCGCGCGUCCCCCUCGCUGCACGGGCGGCUGCAGCCGGCCAUCUGGGCGGCGCUGGCGCUCGCCACCGCCGCGCGGGCGCCCUUCUACCGCCGCUGGGACGCCGAGAUCCGCGCCGCCCCGUGGUUCCUCGCCGCCAUGCUCCUCAUGCUCGCCGCCCUGCUCUGCGAGGCCAUCUCCGUCCGGUUCGUGUCCAGCGUGCUCGGCCUCCGGUGGCAUAGAUCUACUGCUCCUCUUCCGGACACUGGCCAGUGGCUUCUUCUAGCACUAAAUGAGAGGCUUCCUCAAACCGUGGUUUAUCUAUUGAGAGCCCACAUCAUCAGUCUACAUCAUUAUUUGAUGUUGUUUAUCAUGUUGGGAUUCUCGGCAUUUUUUGACUGCAUCAAAGGCCCUGGCCUUGGAAUAGGCACAAGGUAUAUGUUCGUUAUGGCGGUCGGGCGUUUUCUUCGGACCAUAACAUUUGUUUCGACAAUUCUUCCAUCCGCAAGGCCUUGGUGUGCUGCUGCUCGAUAUAAAAUACCUGACCAUCCUCAUGCUUGGGCACAAAAGUAUUAUGUUCCGUAUGCUUCUGAUCCGCGUGCAAUCCGCAGGGUCAUACUAGUGGAUAUGCCAUAUGCCAUUGUUCAAAAUUAUACUGAUUACUAUAGACCUGAUUGGGCAUAUAUGAACUUCCUAAUAGAUAUAUUGAGGCCCUCUGCCGGAGAGGGGCCUUCGUGGUAUCAUUUGGUGAAUAAAGCCGGUGGUGGUUGCAAUGAUCUUAUGUUUGUUGCUGUCCUGACUGCUAUGGCAUGGACGGAAGCGUACGGGGGAUGGAUAUCAGUGGGAAUAUGGUUUCUAGUCCUGCACAGUGCCCAGAGGGAGAUACGGGAGCGUUAUCAUUAUAGUGCCGACUGCAUUGUAGCAAUUUACAUUGGAAUCCUCUUGUGGCGGGUCACUGGGUUCAUCUGGUCCACGAGGGAUUUAGAUCAAGCCAGAAGACUUGCCAAACUCGACGAGGUUCAGAACAGAUUAUUUCAUGCUGCAAAGGACUCGGACAUCGACGAAAUAAGGGGGCUGCUAAAUGAAGUUGAGAUGGCUGGACAGUCAAAGAGGACCUUCUCACAGGGUGUCAUCUUAUCCUUUGCUGCUUUUAUGAUUACAUUCACCCUCCUGUUUGUUCUCCUUGCAUUCUCACUUACUAGCAAUGGAUGA